Molecule: long non-coding RNA, 847 nt
Organism: Dalotia coriaria
Lineage: Eukaryota; Metazoa; Arthropoda; Insecta; Coleoptera; Staphylinidae
Exons: 4
Source: RefSeq, a predicted model, not a curated record
UAAUGUUAUUACGAUAUAAUAUCUAACAUUUAAUUUUUUUAAAACUUCCAUCUCAAGUUCUGACACAGAGUGAUACUUAAAAUGCGUUUGUUGCUAAUACUAUGGCUGGUAACUUCCUAUUGCAAUUAUAUACAGGGAAAAUCAAAUGUAUUGUUUGCAAAUGUUACUGGAAGUGGACAAAAUGCCAAAGUUCACGCAACGUGUGUCAGUGAUGAUUACAACGAUGCAAUUGCAUGGAUUACAUUUCCCUUCACCGAGAUGAUUGAACCUAUUUCAGUUAAUAAGACCUUGCGGUAUAUCGAUUUUAAUUGGGGAAAAUAUGAGUGGAACGAAGAAGUAGCCUACAACGCAUCGUUUGGUCCAGUGAUGGAUUAUACUUGGGAAAUGUUACCAAUUAUUAUAACCCGAUCUGCCCAACUGACACAAAAUUAUAAAUUUGAAAAAUUAGAAGAAAUUAAAAUCUGAAAUCAUUUUGAGUUCAAUUUUUCGUUUUUGGGAAAAUCAAGUGCACACAUUUAUUUGUGUUCACAUCCAAUGAUAAAAAGAGGUACAUGUUUUAUUUUUAUUGUUGGUGGGUGGAAUGGACAGGGCAGUGUUAUAAGACGGUGUAGAGAGGGCGCGUCACCAACCAAUUCGGAAGAUAGAUUAAGAGGAUGCGAAAAUAUUGUAAACAAGAUUGAACAUAAAGCAUUAUUUUCAAUUGACAAAUGGAAUCAAAUUUCUAUUCGAUUCAUAAAUCAACAAUUAGAAGUAAUAACCACUGAUAAAAAUUUAUUAUUAUAUCACGCACAAUAUGAUGGAGAAUUUAACAAUUAUACAAACGUAUUUAUUCAUUCAAAUACCGAAA